ACGGAGCUUGCUCUGUGGGAUCAGUGGCGAACGGGUGAGUAACACGUGAGCAACCUGCCCCUGACUCUGGGAUAAGCGCUGGAAACGGCGUCUAAUACUGGAUAUGUGACGUGACCGCAUGGUCUGCGUCUGGAAAGAAUUUCGGUUGGGGAUGGGCUCGCGGCCUAUCAGCUUGUUGGUGAGGUAAUGGCUCACCAAGGCGUCGACGGGUAGCCGGCCUGAGAGGGUGACCGGCCACACUGGGACUGAGACACGGCCCAGACUCCUACGGGAGGCAGCAGUGGGGAAUAUUGCACAAUGGGCGCAAGCCUGAUGCAGCAACGCCGCGUGAGGGACGACGGCCUUCGGGCUGUAAACCUCUUUUAGCAGGGAAGAAGCGAAAGUGACGGUACCUGCAGAAAAAGCGCCGGCUAACUACGUGCCAGCAGCCGCGGUAAUACGUAGGGCGCAAGCGUUAUCCGGAAUUAUUGGGCGUAAAGAGCUCGUAGGCGGUUUGUCGCGUCUGCAGUGAAAUCCGGAGGCUCAACCUCCGGCCUGCAGUGGGUACGGGCAGACUAGAGUGCGGUAGGGGAGAUUGGAACUCCUGGUGUAGCGGUGGAAUGCGCAGAUAUCAGGAGGAACACCGAUGGCGAAGGCAGAUCUCUGGGCCGUAACUGACGCUGAGGAGCGAAAGGGUGGGGAGCAAACAGGCUUAGAUACCCUGGUAGUCCACCCCGUAAACGUUGGGAACUAGUUGUGGGGUCCAUUCCACGGAUUCCGUGACGCAGCUAACGCAUUAAGUUCCCCGCCUGGGGAGUACGGCCGCAAGGCUAA
RNAcentral lists this ribosomal RNA (813 nucleotides) under uncultured bacterium. Its description in RNAcentral is "bacterial SSU rRNA". It matches the Rfam family "Bacterial small subunit ribosomal RNA", at positions 73 to 897 of the family's 1533-position model. The record is from RNAcentral.